Molecule: long non-coding RNA, 5373 nt
Organism: Bos taurus (domestic cattle)
Lineage: Eukaryota; Metazoa; Chordata; Mammalia; Artiodactyla; Bovidae
Source: Ensembl
UGGGGUUAAGGGUGGGACUGGUUAGCAGUGAGGGCGUCUCCGACUGUGUCACACACACGCAUGGAGGAGCCAGGUCACCACCAUUUGCGAGGCUCCCGUCUGAGGGUGUGCCGUGUACAGAUGUUUGGGUGGCUCUUGGAAUGUGAGGUCUGUGGUGAAGGGCACUGAGGAGCAUAGAGGCAUCCAUCUUGUCCAGUGGUGGCAGGAGUCACAGUAGAUCCUUGCCUCGGACAAUUGAGCUUUUGGCUUAAAAAUGUUCAUGUCUUCUUGGUUACUGCUGCAAGUGUGCUUGUUGGAUCAGUGGUGAUGUGGAAUCUGAAACAAGGAUGCUUCUGUGGCUUCUGAUUGGCGCCCCAGGUCAGAUCUGAGGCCCUUGCCAUUGCAGCCCUUUGUGUUGUUGAAAUUCCUGAGUGCCCUGUGGGCUGCAAAUGUUGCAGAGACCUAGGGGAAAGGUGACAGUCGUGAAAGUUAAUAGGCCUCAUUUCUGCCCUUGGCAGUUCCUGAAUUGUAACUGCUAUCACAGUGCUUGAGUCUAGGAGGCUUGGUAAUAGUGACCUUUGUGGCCUUGGUGGUCUGAUGCCAGAAGAAGAACUCUUCAUUUGUAUCUUUGGUACCUUGAAAAGCAGCCCGUGGGUGGUAAUGUGGUGUGCGUACAUCGCCUUGGCCCCCAUUUGGCCCCUCAGCCUGGAAUUUGCAAGGUGUGUGAUUUCUCAAAAUUUGGGGCCAGGUAUUCGGCCCUGAUCCACCCAGGUGUUCACCGCUCCCCCCAGCAGUGAAUUAGCAACUUUGAAGGCCCAUGUUUGUGGUAGAGAUUGGUCAUUGGUUGGUAUACCAAGCCUGCCUCAGUGUAGGCACCAGCAGCUCCUCUGGCACUAUGGCGGGAGACCUGGCACAUCCAAAGUCUUCUGCUGGCAGGUCUUCUGAUGUCUUCCUGGAAGCCACCUUAGUGAUCUGUGAGCACUUGGUGGUCUUGCAUGGCAGAUACAAGGUGUAGGGUGGAAUGACGUGAUGUCACCAUAGUCAAAGCCCACCUUUUUCCUGUUGUUGGGUGCUGGUUGACUGUGUGAAUAGAGCCCCUGGAGGCUUCCAAUGUGGGUGAGUUUCUAUUUGGGGCAGGAGUGUUCAAUUUGGACCAAGCUCUGCUUUAUGGGAGUUUUUCCCAUAGGAUGUGGUCAGUAUCCAGGAGCCUGUACUGUGGGGAUCUUAACCUAUUCUGGCUGGGCAAGGGGCCCUGUUUCUCUGGGAGUGACGCCUAGAUGUUGGUACCUGAGGACGAGCGCCUCUUGUCUUUCACUUACCAUUGGGUCCCUGGAGAGUGAUUGGACUCACUGGGUAGGAAGAGGCUCAUGCCUUGAAUUCUUUUCCUCUUCAAGGGUAUUGUGGGUCAUCAGCCCCAGGGCCAAGUUCACCAUACAUUUGUCAUUCUAAUGGAAAAUUUCCUUGCUCUAAGUAGAGCUGGGACUAGUGGGCAAGGACACCUGAGCUGAAAUAGUUCCUGGUGUAGUCUCAAGCUCUGUGGCAUUCACAGAGUUGCUGUGCAGCACGACCUUGCUUGGUCCGAUUCCUAUGCUUUGGUCAAAGGGAAUGGUCAUGGAGAUAGGGGGCCCAGAGCCGAUGUCAACAGCCCCUCUGUGAAAUUUUGCAUGAGGCUUGUGGAAGGUGCCAAGCAUCUACUCCAUUUUGUGGGAGGGUAGGAGGUCCACACUCUGUAUAGACGGCAUGCCUGUUCAGACACCGAGGCCUUUGCGUGGGUCUCUGAGACAUGGAGAUAGCUGGAAGGAGUUCAAGGCCCAUCCAAAUCCUAAGAGUGCAUCCUUGUUGGUACGCCGGAACAGAUGCACUCAACCCCACAUCGCAUGCCCUGCCAUCCAUGCACGCUGUCAGACAGACACCCACUCGCUCUUGAACCUACUUUGCUGCACUCAUGCUCACUUAUUUAUCCAGUCCUAGGUAGGGAAUCAAUACAUUUGGCUAAGCAGAUAAAGGCCUUCCCCCAGGGAACGAUGGGCAUCAGCAUUGUUCAGUGAGAACUUGGGUACACAUCUGAAGUGUUCCUUUGCUUUCUCUCCACUUGUCAGGAGAAGUUCUCGGGUAUGACUGUCUGUCAUCCAGGGCAAGAAGCCAUGCACAUGAGACAGUACCUCGAGAUGCAGGGGAGUCUGGCGAGAAGUUCACAGGCCCAGGUUCCUGCCACUGCUUUUUGGAUCACUGAGGAUGGCACCUUCUCUUACCACAAGAUGUUUCAUGGAUGUAGGGUUUCCUGGGACUGCCUGAGUAGUUGUAUGUAUGGAGGGACCAUUCUGCAGAGAAGUCUUAGACCUCUGAAUUCCCCUGGCUCCUGAAGGACUCCUAGGUCACUGGCUCCUCCUGAGAUUAGUUCUACCUGCCCUCCUGAGGUGGGCAGCAAGCCAGCGUGUGCUCGUAUCUAUGACACUCUCAUAUGCGUUCCUUGGGAACAUCUGAACAAAAUGAGUCAGAAUUCACUACUAUUUCCUCACCGACAGUGAAUUCCAACACAUUGCCUCUCCUGGAGCUAAGUGUGCACUAAUUAGCAGUAAGGGCUGCUUUUACUGUGUCACAUACAUGCAUAGAGCAGGAGGAUCACCAGGAUCACCACUGUUUGCAAGGCUCCCUUCUGAGUGUGGGCUGUGUAAGAUGUUCAUGCGGUUUUCCUGAAGUGCAAGGUCUGAGGUCAAUACCACUGAAGUUCACAGGAGAUGUCUAGCCUGACCAGUGAUGCUAGGAGUCAGAGUAGAUCCUGGCCUAGGUCUGUUGAGCUCUUGGCUUGAAAAUGUGCAUUUUGUCCCAGUUCCUGCUGCAAGUGCGCUAGUUGGAGGUGUGUUGAUGUGGAAGCCAAAGUGAGGAAGAUUCUGUAGUUUCUUAUUGGAGCCUCAGGUCAGAUCUGAGGUCCUAGCUGUUGAGGCCCUUUGGGUUGGUGAGGUUUCUUGAGUGCCCUGUGGGCUGUAGCGUUUGCAGGAACCUAGUCAAAUGGUGGCAGGGGUGAAAGGCAAUAGGCCUCGUUUCUGCCCUUGGCAGUUCCUAUGUUGCAUCUUCUGUCACAUGCUUGUGUCUUAGAGGCUGCCGUGGACUGUGCAGUGGUCCCAGCCUUGCAUUCCUCCUGCAGGUUGGCCAGAGGCCUAGAGCAGAAUGGUUGUGCAGGUGAGAAAAAGUACAGGAUGAUUUCCUGGGACUAUCUGUCCGCUGAGGCUGCAGGCACUGUCUUUGUGUUUUCAGUGUUCCAUACUGUGGUCCUUUUGGAGCUGCCCUUGGCUGGGUACAGAAGAGAGGGCAUUUUGGUGCCUGGCAGGCUCGGUGAUAGGUGACCUUUUUGGCCUUGGUGGCCCACUGCCAGAAGGACUCACAAAGCAUAUCUUUGGUGCCUUGAAGAAUUCCACUUAGCGAGGCCUCACAACCAGCUAGUGUGGGCAGAAAUGAGAUCUUUGCACAUAUCUGUUUUUCCUUUGGGCCUGGUAUUUGCCAGGUGUAUGAGUUCCUAAAGAUGGGAGCAGGUGGACCGCCCAGAUGGCACCCAGUUGUUUGCCACCCUGGCAGAGAAGUAUCAACCUUGGAGUCCUGUGGUUUUUAGAGAUUCGUCUUUGGUUGGCAUACCAAGGCUUCCUCCAUGAUGUAGCAAGUGAAUCCCCUGGCACUCUUGUGGGAAACUUCACACAACAAAGGUCUUUCCCUGGAAGUUCUUCUCAAGUCUUCCUGGAAGCAGGCUUGGUGUUCUGUGAACACUUGAUGGUUUUGUGUAGCAGAGAAGGGAUGCUGGGCAGAAUGGCGUGAUGUCACCAUAAUCAAAGACUGCCUUCUUCCUGUUGGUCUUCUGAGUACUAAAUGUCCCUUUGUGAGCAGAAGACCUGGUGGCUUCUGAUGUGGGUGAGUCACACUGGGGGUGGAUGGAGGAGUUCAAUUUGUAGGAGUUUUUCCUGGGUAUGGUUGGUUCCCAGGGCCCUGCAGGCUGUGGAUCUGAGCAUUAUCUGGCCGGCAAAGGGGCCCAGUUUCUGUGGGAGUGACCCCUGGAUCCUGGUACCUGAGGAAGACCAGGUCCCAUCUUGCACUUUCCAGUGGAGCCUCGGAGAGUGAUUAGACUCACUGGGCAGGGAGAGGCUCAUGCCCUGAAUUAUUUUGCCCUUUUAAGGAAUGGUGGGCCAUAUCUGCCCCUGGGUCAUGUUCCCAAUACUUUUGACCUUCUUUGGGAAAGUUUCCUUGAUCCAGGAGGAGGUGGGUCUUGUCACCAUGGACACCUGAGCUGUAGUUUUAGCUGACAUGUCUCAUGGUACAUGGCAUUCACACAGUUGCUCUGCCAGGCGACCUUGGGCAGUCAGGUUUAUGUUCAUAGUGAGAGGGCAUGGGUCGAAGAGAUCAUGAGCCCAUGCCCUAUUUCAACAGCCCCUCAGGAUGAAAUUUUGCAUGGAGCUUGUGGACAGUGGCAGGCAUCAUCUGCCAUUUUGUUGGACAGCAGAAAGUCAGGUUUCUGUGGUGAAGGCACACGUGUUAAGACACCAAGGCCUUUGGAGUGGGACUCUGAGUCCUGGAGACACCUGGAAGGAGUUUCAGAGGCACACCCAGAGUCUUGAGGCACAUUCUUCUUGGUACACUGGAACACACACACACAGACCCAUAUCAAAUCCCCUGCCACACACACAUACUCAGACAGACAGACACCGAUAGGAACUUUAAGAUAAUUUCCUACCUUUUUUGCUAUAGGUACGUAUCCAGUCAUACAUGAGGGAUCGAGGUAGUUCAGAAGCAGAUGCAGGCUUUACCUCAGGGAACCAUGGACACCGAUAUUAUUCAUUGAGAACCCGGGUGCACAUUUGAAGCAUGCUUGUGCUUUCCUUUGACUUGUCAGGAGAAGUUGCCAGGUAUGACUGUAGCUUACAAGAAUCCCUGCCUGUGAUUCAGUGAAUGGAGGUGCAAGAGAGUCCUGCAAGAAGUGUGGCAGAAACAGCUUGCAGUUUCUGCUUUUUGGAUCACUAAGGAUGGUACGCCUUCCUCUGCCCCAAGAUGUGUCAUGAAUUUAGGGCUUCCUGGGAUUGCCUGAGUACGUAUAAGUGCAAAUGGACUUUUCCUCUUGCCAAGAAGCCUGGGGGCUCUGAAUUCUCCUAGCUCCUGGAGGACUCCCAGGUCAUUGGCUCCUUCUUGGAGCAGCCCUGCCUGCCCUGCUGAGGUGUGCAGUGAAGCAGCACAUACUCGGAUCAAUGAUGACAACUUUCAUAUGCAUUCCUUGGAAAAUCUGAACAAAAUGAGUGAGAACUCACUACCAUCUCCUCAUCAAUACUGAGCUCUAGCAUGUUGCCUCCCAUGAAGCUAGGGUUGGGGCUAGUUAUCAAUUAGGGCCAGCUUAGACUUGGUCACACACAUGCAUAC